GACGAACGCUGGCGGCGUGCUUAACACAUGCAAGUCGAACGGAAAGGCCCUGCUUUUGUGGGGUGCUCGAGUGGCGAACGGGUGAGUAACACGUGAGUAACCUGCCCUUGACUUUGGGAUAACUUCAGGAAACUGGGGCUAAUACCGGAUAGGAGCUCCUGCUGCAUGGUGGGGGUUGGAAAGGUUCGGCGGUUGGGGAUGGACUCGCGGCUUAUCAGCUUGUUGGUUGGGUAGUGGCUUACCAAGGCUUUGACGGGUAGCCGGCCUGAGAGGGUGACCGGCCACAUUGGGACUGAGAUACGGCCCAGACUCCUACGGGAGGCAGCAGUGGGGAAUAUUGCACAAUGGGCGGAAGCCUGAUGCAGCAACGCCGCGUGCGGGAUGACGGCCUUCGGGUUGUAAACCGCUUUCGCCUGUGACGAAGCGUGAGUGACGGUAAUGGGUAAAGAAGCACCGGCUAACUACGUG
Molecule: ribosomal RNA, 468 nt
Filed under: uncultured bacterium
Lineage: Bacteria
Description: partial 16S ribosomal RNA
Rfam family: Bacterial small subunit ribosomal RNA
Source: RNAcentral